AUCUAACUGACGAGUCUCAAAUAGGACGAAAUGUAUGUCCUGGAU
Molecule: non-coding RNA, 45 nt
Organism: Schistosoma margrebowiei
Lineage: Eukaryota; Metazoa; Platyhelminthes; Trematoda; Strigeidida; Schistosomatidae
Source: Rfam